AUCUCUGUCUUUCGCUCUGCGUUAAUCCAAAGACAAGUCUGUUUAUUAGAAUUUCUACGCAAGUUAUCUCCUGGAUCCCUUGGAUCUGCAAGCAGGCAACAAAGAAAUGUUUGUUUUCUUUUGACGUAUUACUAUAUUUCGAAGCUCUUCAGACUAAUGCUUCUCCGAUCCUAUCAUCCUGGAGACACUAAACUAUUUGAAGAUGAAUCUCGGUUGAUUGGUGACCAUGGUG
This is a non-coding RNA of Lolium perenne, 232 nucleotides long. The record is from RefSeq and is a predicted model, not a curated record. NCBI's taxonomy places the organism in Eukaryota, Viridiplantae, Streptophyta, Magnoliopsida, Poales, Poaceae.